GGGUGCGAUCAUACUAGCGUUAAUGCACCAGAUCCCAUCAGAACUCUUCAGUUAAGUGCGCUUGGGCUAGAGUAGUACAGCGAUGGGUGACCUCCCAGGAAGUCCUAGUGUUGCACCCU
Picea glauca (white spruce) is the source of this 119-nucleotide non-coding RNA. The record is from Rfam. Lineage: Eukaryota; Viridiplantae; Streptophyta; Pinopsida; Pinales; Pinaceae.